This 437-nucleotide ribosomal RNA is filed under the name Selenomonas sp. oral taxon E39. RNAcentral's name for it is "bacterial SSU rRNA". It matches the Rfam family "Bacterial small subunit ribosomal RNA", at positions 28 to 444 of the family's 1533-position model. The record is from RNAcentral. Lineage: Bacteria; Bacillati; Bacillota; Negativicutes; Selenomonadales; Selenomonadaceae.
GACGAACGCUGGCGGCGUGCUUAACACAUGCAAGUCGAACGGAGCGAAUGAAAGCUUGCUUUUAUAAGCUUAGUGGCAAACGGGUGAGUAACACGUAGGCAACCUGCCGACAGGAUGGGGACAACAUUCCGAAAGGAAUGCUAAUACCGAAUGAAGUCGAGGGAGGGCAUCCUCCUCCGAUGAAAGAUGGCCUCUAUAUAUAAGCUAUCACCUGUCGAUGGGCCUGCGUCUGAUUAGCUGGUAGGUGAGGUAACGGCUCACCUAGGCGACGAUCAGUAGCCGGUCUGAGAGGAUGAACGGCCACAUUGGGACUGAGACACGGCCCAGACUCCUACGGGAGGCAGCAGUGGGGAAUCUUCCGCAAUGGGCGCAAGCCUGACGGAGCAACGCCGCGUGAGUGAAGAAGGUCUUCGGAUCGUAAAGCUCUGUUGAUGGGG